Molecule: non-coding RNA, 71 nt
Organism: Podarcis lilfordi (Lilford's wall lizard)
Lineage: Eukaryota; Metazoa; Chordata; Lepidosauria; Squamata; Lacertidae
Source: the annotation of a GenBank genome assembly
GCAACAUGGCUCAGUGGUAGAGCGUCUGUUUUUCAUACAGAAGGUCCCAGGUUCAAUCCCCAGCCUAUCCA